AGAACGAACGCUGGCGGCAUGCCUAACACAUGCAAGUCGAACGCUCUUGGGGCUUCGGUUCCAAGGGAGUGGCGCACGGGUGAGUAGCGCGUGGGAACCUGCCCUGGAGUGGGGGAUAACCGAGGGAAACUUCGGCUAAUACCGCAUGCGCCCGGGAAACCGGGGAAAGAUUUAUCGCUCUAGGAGGGGCCCGCGUCGGAUUAGCUUGUUGGUGGGGUAACGGCCCACCAAGGCUUCGAUCGGUAGCUGGUCUGAGAGGAUGAUCAGCCACACUGGGACUGAGACACGGCCCAGACUCCUACGGGAGGCAGCAGUGGGGAAUAUUGGACAAUGGGCGCAAGCCUGAUCCAGCAAUGCCGCGUGGGUGAAGAAGGUCUUCGGAUUGUAAAGCCCUUUCGGCGGGGACGAUGAUGACGGUACCCGCAGAAGAACGCCCGGCUAACUUCGUGCCAGCAGCCGC
RNAcentral lists this ribosomal RNA (460 nucleotides) under uncultured bacterium. Its description in RNAcentral is "SSU rRNA". It matches the Rfam family "Bacterial small subunit ribosomal RNA", at positions 26 to 518 of the family's 1533-position model. The record is from RNAcentral.